Rhipicephalus microplus (southern cattle tick) is the source of this 716-nucleotide long non-coding RNA. Lineage: Eukaryota; Metazoa; Arthropoda; Arachnida; Ixodida; Ixodidae. The record is from RefSeq and is a predicted model, not a curated record.
UGUGAUUUAUGGCUCAAGUUGGUUUUCUCGGAGGCAAGUGUUAGUCAUUCUGCAAUUUCAACAGGAGAACAAAGACCACCUUUACUGCAUCCACUUACGUCACAUGAGACGGCCCUGCUGCGCAGCGCAAUACUAAGUUUCAUGUCAUCAACAUAUCCUAAACUGCUCCGGCAUCAUGGACACAGUGGUUCAACACAUCAUACGAAGUCAACAUUAACGAACGUGCCAACUCCGUUUGAAACUAUCGAUGCCUGAAACAGAGAGCGUAGAUAUAAAAGAAAUGCGCCAAUGCGAACAUAUGCGUAUUCGCACAGGUAAUAGAAGGAUUUUAAAAAAGAAAAAUCAGCCCUAAAUAAUAUUACGUAACUUGUAUUGACACCGAUUUCUCGGGUUAGCGAAGACCCAGCCUGUAGCUUACAACACACGUUGCACAAACUGAUAUUCUACCGUCGACAGUGUUCGUUCACACUCUCUCAGGCUUUCCAAAAAAGCGAUACUUUUCAGGUGUCAUAAGCUGCACUGGCUGUACUGGCUGUACUGGCUUUCGCCAACAGCUGUCUACCAUUCCAAUUUUAGGGAAAUAAUGCUUAUUUUUGAGAGUUUCCUAGUACAGCAACACCAGUGUAAGUAUUGCGCUAUUACAUAUUAUGCAUUUGUUCCAUUAACACAAAACGUUCCAACGUUGCUUCUCAAAAUAAACAGUUCUGGUUCUCGCU